This is a long non-coding RNA of Pseudoliparis swirei, 411 nucleotides long. RefSeq lists it as uncharacterized. The record is from RefSeq and is a predicted model, not a curated record. Lineage: Eukaryota; Metazoa; Chordata; Actinopteri; Perciformes; Liparidae. The transcript is spliced from 3 exons.
AAAAACUCGUGUGUAAUCUGAGACGGCGCCUGAAACUGGUCCAACCCGACGGUGACUACAGAAUAUACCGACCUACAGAAGAAUGUGACGAUGGAGAAGAAGGAGAAGGCGAUGGCGGCCCGGGCGGCGUCCGCCCCCUGGUUGAGUGGCAGAUCACCGUCCUUGGUCCGAGACCACUGAUUGGCCAGGAAGCAGAAGCUUACAAAGUUUCAUUUCUCUUGAUGUCAUCUGGCCGAGUUUGGCUACUUUUUUUUUUCCGGGUGCUUUUUAGGGAAACCCUACCUUUUUUAAUCCGGCCGACUUUGAAUUAAAUCACAGACUAUAACUCUGAAAUGUCAGAAUCAGAAACGGUGUAUUGCCUAUUCAUUCAUAUACUAUACAAAAGUAAAAGACCUCAAUAGAAUAUGAUAU